GCCCCAUCUGGUCUGUUCUCUCAAGCUAAGCACGGUAUGGCCUGGUUAGUACUUGGAUG
This 59-nucleotide ribosomal RNA is filed under the name Ailuropoda melanoleuca (giant panda). Lineage: Eukaryota; Metazoa; Chordata; Mammalia; Carnivora; Ursidae. The record is from RNAcentral.